GGGUUGUGAGGUUAAGCGACUAAGCGUACACGGUGGAUGCCCUGGCAGUCAGAGGCGAUGAAGGACGUGCUAAUCUGCGAUAAGCGCCGGUAAGGUGAUAUGAACCGUUAUAACCGGCGAUUUCCGAAUGGGGAAACCCAGUGUGACUCGUCACACUAUCAUUAACUGAAUCCAUAGGUUAAUGAGGCGAACCGGGGGAACUGAAACAUCUAAGUACCCCGAGGAAAAGAAAUCAACCGAGAUUCCCCCAGUAGCGGCGAGCGAACGGGGAGGAGCCCAGAGCCUGAAUCAGCAUGUGUGUUAGUGGAAGCGUCUGGAAAGGCGCGCGAUACAGGGUGACAGCCCCGUACACAAAAGCGCAUGUGCUGUGAGCUCGAUGAGUAGGGCGGGACACGUGGUAUCCUGUCUGAAUAUGGGGGGACCAUCCUCCAAGGCUAAAUACUCCUGACUGACCGAUAGUGAACCAGUACCGUGAGGGAAAGGCGAAAAGAACCCCGGCGAGGGGAGUGAAAAAGAACCUGAAACCGUGUACGUACAAGCAGUGGGAGCACCCUUUGGGGUGUGACUGCGUACCUUUUGUAUAAUGGGUCAGCGACUUAUAUUCUGUAGCAAGGUUAACCGAAUAGGGGAGCCGGAGGGAAACCGAGUCUUAAUUGGGCGUUAAGUUGCAGGGUAUAGACCCGAAACCCGGUGAUCUAGCCAUGGGCAGGUUGAAGGUUGGGUAACACUAACUGGAGGACCGAACCGACUAAUGUUGAAAAAUUAGCGGAUGACCUGUGGCUGGGGGUGAAAGGCCAAUCAAACCGGGAGAUAGCUGGUUCUCCCCGAAAGCUAUUUAGGUAGCGCCUCGUGAAUUCAUCUCCGGGGGUAGAGCACUGUUUCGGCUAGGGGGCCAUCCCGGCUUACCAACCCGAUGCAAACUGCGAAUACCGGAGAAUGUUAUCACGGGAGACACACGGCGGGUGCUAACGUCCGUCGUGAAGAGGGAAACAACCCAGACCGCCAGCUAAGGUCCCAAAGUCAUGGUUAAGUGGGAAACGAUGUGGGAAGGCCCAGACAGCCAGGAUGUUGGCUUAGAAGCAGCCAUCAUUUAAAGAAAGCGUAAUAGCUCACUGGUCGAGUCGGCCUGCGCGGAAGAUGUAACGGGGCUAAACCAUGCACCGAAGCUGCGGCAGCGAACGUAUCACUUAAAGCGAUUCAGCGGAUGACGAUUGACGGAGCGAAGCGACGUCAAAGCGUAUACAAAGUCGAGUCGGUUUAAGGAUACGUUCGUUGGGUAGGGGAGCGUUCUGUAAGCCUGUGAAGGUGGCCUGUGAGGGUUGCUGGAGGUAUCAGAAGUGCGAAUGCUGACAUAAGUAACGAUAAAGCGGGUGAAAAGCCCGCUCGCCGGAAGACCAAGGGUUCCUGUCCAACGUUAAUCGGGGCAGGGUGAGUCGACCCCUAAGGCGAGGCCGAAAGGCGUAGUCGAUGGGAAACGGGUUAAUAUUCCCGUACUUGGUGUUACUGCGAAGGGGGGACGGAGAAGGCUAUGUUGGCCGGGCGACGGUUGUCCCGGUUUAAGCGUGUAGGUGUGUGUUCCAGGUAAAUCCGGUUCACUUUAACACUGAGGCGUGACGACGAGGCACUACGGUGCUGAAGCAACAAAUGCCCUGCUUCCAGGAAAAGCCUCUAAGCAUCAGGUAACAUCAAAUCGUACCCCAAACCGACACAGGUGGUCAGGUAGAGAAUACCAAGGCGCUUGAGAGAACUCGGGUGAAGGAACUAGGCAAAAUGGUGCCGUAACUUCGGGAGAAGGCACGCUGACACGUAGGUGAAGUGAUUUACUCAUGGAGCUGAAGUCAGUCGAAGAUACCAGCUGGCUGCAACUGUUUAUUAAAAACACAGCACUGUGCAAACACGAAAGUGGACGUAUACGGUGUGACGCCUGCCCGGUGCCGGAAGGUUAAUUGAUGGGGUCAGCGCAAGCGAAGCUCCUGAUCGAAGCCCCGGUAAACGGCGGCCGUAACUAUAACGGUCCUAAGGUAGCGAAAUUCCUUGUCGGGUAAGUUCCGACCUGCACGAAUGGCGUAAUGAUGGCCAGGCUGUCUCCACCCGAGACUCAGUGAAAUUGAACUCGCUGUGAAGAUGCAGUGUACCCGCGGCAAGACGGAAAGACCCCGUGAACCUUUACUAUAGCUUGACACUGAACAUUGAGCCUUGAUGUGUAGGAUAGGUGGGAGGCUUUGAAGUGUGGACGCCAGUCUGCAUGGAGCCGGCCUUGAAAUACCACCCUUUAAUGUUUGAUGUUCUAACGUGGACCCGUGAUCCGGGUUGCGGACAGUGUCUGGUGGGUAGUUUGACUGGGGCGGUCUCCUCCUAAAGAGUAACGGAGGAGCACGAAGGUUGGCUAAUCCUGGUCGGACAUCAGGAGGUUAGUGCAAUGGCAUAAGCCAGCUUGACUGCGAGCGUGACGGCGCGAGCAGGUGCGAAAGCAGGUCAUAGUGAUCCGGUGGUUCUGAAUGGAAGGGCCAUCGCUCAACGGAUAAAAGGUACUCCGGGGAUAACAGGCUGAUACCGCCCAAGAGUUCAUAUCGACGGCGGUGUUUGGCACCUCGAUGUCGGCUCAUCACAUCCUGGGGCUGAAGUAGGUCCCAAGGGUAUGGCUGUUCGCCAUUUAAAGUGGUACGCGAGCUGGGUUUAGAACGUCGUGAGACAGUUCGGUCCCUAUCUGCCGUGGGCGCUGGAGAACUGAGGGGGGCUGCUCCUAGUACGAGAGGACCGGAGUGGACGCAUCACUGGUGUUCGGGUUGUCAUGCCAAUGGCACUGCCCGGUAGCUAAAUGCGGAAGAGAUAAGUGCUGAAAGCAUCUAAGCACGAAACUUGCCCCGAGAUGAGUUCUCCCUGAGACUUUAGGUCUCCUGAAGGAACGUUGAAGACGACGACGUUGAUAGGCCGGGUGUGUAAGCGCAGCGAUGCGUUGAGCUAACCGGUACUAAUGAACCGUGAGGCUUAACCUUACAACGCCGAAG
Molecule: ribosomal RNA, 3008 nt
Filed under: Salmonella enterica subsp. enterica serovar Gaminara str. SA20063285
Lineage: Bacteria; Pseudomonadati; Pseudomonadota; Gammaproteobacteria; Enterobacterales; Enterobacteriaceae
Description: bacterial LSU rRNA
Rfam family: Bacterial large subunit ribosomal RNA
Source: RNAcentral